Long non-coding RNA from Quercus lobata, 167 nucleotides. RefSeq lists it as uncharacterized. NCBI's taxonomy places the organism in Eukaryota, Viridiplantae, Streptophyta, Magnoliopsida, Fagales, Fagaceae. The record is from RefSeq and is a predicted model, not a curated record. The transcript has 2 exons.
GUUGAGAGAGGCAGCAUUGGAAGCACAAGCAUGUCCAGGGAUGACUUAAACAAGCUUCCUUGCAAAACAUGUGGCAACCACAAUCUCGAUCUGAAUUAGGGGAUGUCUCCUCCUUCACUUGGUAAUGGUUCCAAGGAGAAUGAGGGAUGCCUUCAGUUCCACUUUGA